GGGCUUAUCUCGGUGCUCCAGUUUCCUCGCACAUCCCAAAGAGAAGCACGCUGGAUGAACUGUUAGCUUGACACUCAACCCAGCAUGCAAGGAAUCCGGGACUGCUCACCUUGAAGUCCGGUGGGGAUGUCACUGCACCAUCAACCGGCCACGUGUUGCCUGCCGUACCGGUAAAGUGGACUAACUUCACAAGUGGGGGCAAGCAUUCUUCAGUGAUUUGGAAAAGAAGCAUUAACCAGAUUUAUGGAAGUGAUCUUUGUUGGAAAAGCUAGAAGGAUCAAUCUUUUACCUCAGUUGAAUUUGUGAUGUGAAGUAGGAUUUCUUUCUGUGC
Molecule: long non-coding RNA, 331 nt
Organism: Hypanus sabinus (Atlantic stingray)
Lineage: Eukaryota; Metazoa; Chordata; Chondrichthyes; Myliobatiformes; Dasyatidae
Exons: 4
Source: RefSeq, a predicted model, not a curated record